RNAcentral lists this long non-coding RNA (6475 nucleotides) under Phoenix dactylifera (date palm). RNAcentral's name for it is "long non-coding RNA (PDAC_LNC004643)". Lineage: Eukaryota; Viridiplantae; Streptophyta; Magnoliopsida; Arecales; Arecaceae. The record is from RNAcentral.
GGAAGGCCCAGAUGCGCUCGCAGGCCACAAAAAAUAUCCCCCAGUCCUCCACCGAUCACGUGCAAAGCACGUGCCAGAUGGUAGUACCGUCGCGGUGGGUUGUGCGCGGCCACCGCCGGCCACAUCUCCGCUACUAGAAUCGCCUUCUUGCCUUCAGCCUCCGGUCCGCGUAAAAAGAACCCGGGAUCAAUCGAGUUUCUGGUUGGUACCACAGCUUGUUCUAAUCCAAAACCCGGUGCGUUCUUCUUUGAUUUUCCUUUCUGGUUUUGGUUUUAGAAUUAAAUUCAGCAAUGAAGGAAAAAAACUUAAAAUCGAUUCUUUUAACAUUAUCGAUGAAGGCAGAUAGCCGCUAAUGAUUAUUUCUCUGAAUACUGCAAUGGAAAGUUGGGAAUUUGUAUAUUUUUUUUAUUUUUGUUUUCAAUCCAAGAUUUUGUUUCUUGUCUACUUUGAAACCUAAAUAUUGAGAUUGGCGCUCCCAUGGUUGAUGGUUAAUACUACACUUCUGAAUUUCCUGGGUUUUGAUGCUUCUAUUUUGAUAAUUCCUUGUUGAUUCUGUCCGUGCUUGAAUCCAAAUUCUUUUGGUCGAUUGUGGAACUUGCAGUUUAAUUCGAAUAACAAUGUCAUGAGACAUUACAAAGAACAGCGGAAGUUGCAAUAUAUAGGCUCAUCUGAAAAAGCACUGUGCCAUGUUGAUAGGAAUGGGCAAUAUGAUGAUUGAUGUGUGCUUUAUUAACACUCUUGAAAAAUCAAACUCGUGUUAGUUUUGUUGGAAUCCUGAUUUAGCUACAAAGUGAAGAUUGGAAACAUUAGUUUCUCCCAUGUUUACGAGAAAAUUUUGUUACACCUCGGCUUUGCAACUAUUUAUUGCCAUGAGAUGAUGCUUGUUAUUGGUCUUCAUGCACUUUUCUUGUCCUCAUAAUAUUUUUUGUAAAGAUGUUAGCUCAAAAUAUUGUGUGACUUCAUCUCCUUGUCAACUCAGGGUCAUAGAAUUAAGCAGCAAGCUGAUAGUUCAUAUGUUGGUGUCCUGAUUAAAUGGUGACAAUGACAUCUACAAGACAAAGAAUCGAGUAAUUUAUGGAUAGUUGGAAUCAUGAUGUUUAUUUGGCUACUAAAAACUGCCAGUAAGAAGAUCAGGCAGAGGCUUGCAUCUCUACCAAAAACAAAUGCUGAGGCUCGCAUGAAUUUUAAUGUUAUGAUAUGUUUUUUUUUUCUGUGAUCCUAGGUCCGACAUAGAAGCUUGAACAAUACAAUUUGAUUUGUGGUUCUGCUUUAGGUAUGUUGGUAACCAGAAGAAAAAUACUCAACUUUGUGUUGCAUCCAUUCUUUUGUUACAUUAGACAUGAGAAGCCUAUAGGUGAAUGAAUCAUAGGUAAAAACAUUAUUCAGAAGAUAGAAGGUAAGAAAAUAGAGUAGAAAAGAAUUACAUGUUUUCUGUUCUCUCGGUGUAUGCAAUUCAAAUAAAGCAGAAGACUUUUUAUCUUUCCAAAUCAGAGAUUUUUUUUAAAAAAAAAUUCUAGAAGUGUGAAAAAUAUCACAACGCGCCUCUUAUAUAUGCAUGGAAUUUUGUAAAUUUGGGAGAUAAGCAUUAAUAAGUUGUCAAGGUUUAGAAUGUGGCUUGAUGCAUAUAUGAAAGAUAACCAUGUUUAACUAUGUGAGCAUUACUUUGAAAGGGUCAUCGUUGGAUUGAGGUUUGAAACCUAAAAAAAGGAUACUAGCCCCUGUCCUCCACAAAAAACCCCCGCCCCCAAAAAAAAACUGUACAUAUUACAUACAUGAUAUAUGUAUAAAUAUGGUAGAGUGAGAUACACCUCCCCCUCCUCCCCACCCCCAACACACAUGCACAUAGUCAUGUAGAUCUAUCCAUCCAAAUUGACCAGGUAAAUUCGAGUUGUUGAUAAAUCACAUUAUUUUUAAAUGCACAUUUGAACACCUGUAUACUUUUGUUUGUUGUAAUACCUAAAGUGAGAGGUCAACGGUCAUUUAUUUAUUCUCAUUUUUUGUACUUUGCAAGUGCUUACACUUGGUCUGAGUUGGCUAGGCACUUUUAUUUUCUGUAAGGAUUGAUAUUUCAAGCAUUAGGUGCUUUUUUUCUUCUUCUGUUUUCCAAGAUCCACAAUCUUGACAGUGGGCUCUUGCCUUGUCCUCUUUUCACAAGAGAAGACAGGAAGAAUUUGGUGCUAGAGGUGAGAUGGAUUUCAAGAAAUCAAAUAAGUUGGUGUUAGGGAAUUGGUGAAGAUGGUGGCCAUUGAAACCAAUAAUGGAAGGGAAACGAAUCUUUCCUAUCUCCACCUUGUUUCCUUGUUUUUCCUAAAUCCAUUUUGAUGGUACAAUUUGGUUUUUACAUAUUUGUUUCAAGAAAGAUGCCAAGAGAGUUUGCAUGAAGAAGAAUAUGCGGCAAGGGAUGGUUCUUAGCCUUAGUAAGGGCACUGUUAUUUGACUCAGUCUUCAAAACCUAUUUUUAUUUCAUUACUUUAGUGACAUCCUAUGACAAUGCUCGACAAAAAUAUACAAUAACGAAUCACAAAAUUUUGGAUAAAGAUUUUUUUUGAGACUAAAUUUGCAAAAAGUAAGGCAUAUGAGUGUGUUGAGACAUUAUGUGCUGGUUAGCAUCAUAUUUGAUGUAAAAAAAUUGGAUAUUAAGCCAUAAGACUUUUCUUACUAGAGCUUGAGGUCAUGGAAAUAUUUGAAUGCAGUAAAAUCUAUAAUGUUUUACAAUUUUAAAAAUAUUCCUAGUAUUAGAGAUUGCUAUUUUGGCUCAAAUCCAAAGGUCUAGAAAUUGUUUUCAAUUUGGAGGUUGAGCUCAUUUUGAUGGAAUUUGAAGUUUAGACUAUUUGUAGCAAACUCAUUGGGGUAGUUUCUUAUUUACAUGUAAUAUAUUAAGUAAGUGGUACUCAUGUAAACACUCGUGUAAACAAGAUUUGCUUUCAUUUGUUUGCCUGUUGAGUCAUAGGCUAUCCACAACUAACAAACAACCUCCAUCUUUUUCUCCGGGGCAAUGAAAUGGUGAAACCAUUAUUUUAUAACAUUUUUGGUUCAAAUAUGUUAUAAUUGAGCCAUGCCAAAUCAUAUCAAACAAGCACCUUUUGAUAUCGAAUGAUAACCAGUGGUUUAAUAAUUUGUUUAGUACUUAGUAUCGAUCCUAUCACGUAUGGUUGCAUGGGCUUUUCUUUUUUUGGGUGGGUGGGGGAUGAGGUGGUUCUAACACCACAAUCUACCUAUACUUGCACCACCCCCCCCCCCCCAUCCCCAAAAAGCCAAAACCUUGGUCGGGAAAACAGUGCCCUUAGCUUGCGGAACCGAGGUACUAGGAAACAGAGCCCUUAGCUAUUUAACUCUCGGUACUUGGAUUGUGGAUAAAAUAAGACAAGUUCGUAUAAGACAAACAUAAGUGUGGGAGAAAUAUGGGCAUAAUUGGGUAUACAAAAAUAUGCAAGUCCACACAAAAUACAUGACGUGCGCUUAAAAGUUAAACAAAAUAUGGACUUAAUCAUUAAAUUACAUUCUAACCAACAAGAUCAUGUAUCUGCAUGCAUAUUUGGAUCCCUUUUAGCUAUGUUGCUAUAUCCUAAAAUUUGAGGCUUGGAUGGAUUUUACUUCGAAAGACAUAAUUAGCCAACAACCAUACCAAAAGCCAUGUAAGAUAGCUGAGGAUGUUGAAGUUAUUUUGUCUUAGCAUUAAAUAUGUACAAUUCGAUUGUGAUCCCUGUAGUCAAUAGUUCCUUUGUUUCUGUAGAUCUCAUAGAUUUUAAGAGUUUAACAAGUUUGUUUUCUUUAACUAUUUUUCUAAGUUGAGUUGAUUAUAUGUUUGUAAAAAAAAAAGGCGGCCCACUGUACAAGGCUCCUGUCGUUGCAAUAUCUGGAGAGAGUCAGAUGUACGCAUUCUUACCUCUGUGUGCAGAGAGGUUGUUUUCAUAUUUCGAACCCGUAACCUCCGAGUCACAAUAGAGCAUCCUUUUUAUUGUGCCAAGGCUCACCCUCUAUCGUAUCAUAUAGCACAAUCUUCAUAUCAAUGAUUCUAGUAGUCAUUUGCCUUCCUUCAAAACUAAUUUAUAUCAACUGAACAAAAUUUCACUUUAAUAUUAUGGCAUUCCUUUUAUGCCAUUGUGGAAGAUAAGCAAUUGAUGAUAUCUAUGUAUUCCUUCUCAUUGAUCAUUGUUCAUCCUUUUUACUAGAUGUAUUUUGGAACUCUAUUGUUGAAUUGUAUUCAAAUAGUUGUCUCAUAAGUAAUUUCAAAAUUGUAUUGCAUAUCAUUUUUUUGAGAGAAAGGGAGAGAGACCCACCCACAUUAUAAUUUUCUAGGUCUCAAUACUUAGAGAUGCACCACCCAAGACUUGAACACAUAACCUCUGGAUACUAUAGAGAGAGGUACGGCCACGGGGAUAAACCCUAAUUCAUAACUGUAUUGGGUAUCAUUAAGUUGGGUUAUUUAUUCUUCUUUUAAGAUUUAUAGCAUUCAAUAGUACCAUGUCGAUCAAAGAUGAUUUAGAAUAUCUAUAGUACCACAUUGAUCUAAACAACCACGUUGGGAGAAUGAAAGUUUCAGAGAGAGAAUGUAAUGUUCCAGAUUUGUGAUCCUGAAAGGUGGAAUGUCGUGUGUAGUGAGUGAUAAGGAAUAUGCUGUUGACAUGUGCAUUAAAGUGAAAACAGCAAGGUGAACUAUUAUUAUAAUAAUGAAAACAUAAAACAUAAUUCGAGCUGAUUUUUAUCAAUAAGCGUAUACUAGAGUGUAGCUACGUGCAAGACUCAAGGAUGUAGAGAUGGAAAAGGGUUUGCGCCGCUUGUUUCAUUCAUUGGAGGACCUCAAGAUAUGAGACAUUGUUAUCUGGAUCUAGUGGUGCAAGUCAAUCAGUUUGGAAAACCACUUUCGUCAUUACCAUGAUAAGCUAUGAUGAAUGGGAAGAGAUUGUUCAUUGUUCAGUUUGGGAUGAUAUACUUAUAAAAGGGCUGAUGUCACCAUGCCAUUUAAAGUAAAAUGAACGAUCCUGACCAUAAAAUUAUGUGAGAAACUUAUUUGGUUUUGUUAUAGCAGGUCCAUGACACUGAAUUUGAAAAAUGAGGCUUGCCACAUGCCUCUCUUGAUCAUUGUGGAUAAUGAAUGUAAGAAAUAGCGAUGACUUUCAACAAAAUUGUCUGUAUGGAAACAUUGGACCAGUUUGAUGAUCCUAUGUUAUAUGUUACGAUUAAUCAUACAAUCAACAGCCCUCGGAAACAUUGUUGUUAAAAUCUCAUGAUUCACAAUCCAGAUCCCAUCCUUGGAUCAAGAUCAAUGUAGGAUCACAAGAUUUAGAUCCAUAUGAUGGAAGAUACAUUCAUUUGGAUCAUAGGAUCCAACUUGAUUAUGCUAAAUACAAAUUAAAUCAUGGGUGCAUCCAUUUUCUAUAAUUUAUGCGACUAUAUGGCUUUUAGAUUAGUUAUCAACAAUAAAUCUCGAGUAGGAGAAUUAGCAAGUAUGUUAUUGAAGUUCUUAAGAGUUAAAAAUAAAAUGCAAAUUUAUCAAAUUUAUGGCGAAUAUGUUAAGGUCUUAACCUUAUUUUUCUCUAAAAAAAUAUACCUAAAACAAUAACUAAAUUGACAGAUGGUAUAUAAAUUAUUGAAUAACCAAACAAGUAUCUCUUUCUAUAGACUUGCUACAUAUGGGCCUAUAUUGGUGAAAUCUAGAAUUUUUAUAUGUAUGGCUUUCUAUUCACCAUUUACCUACUUUAUAGCUGACUCAUAUUUUGAUUUUCAUAAUUCUUUUACAUUUAGAAAGUUUGCAAAAAUAAGAAAAAUCUAGUCCCCUCUAUGAGUUACGAAUCCCAAUCUUAACAACAGUCCCGGACACCAAAGGCCAUCACAAUCAUGUCUUGUUAAUAGAUACUGAUAUAGCCCAUGUUUACCUUUUAGUUUCCUCAUCAGGUUUGGAUUCUGAUCUUUCAUGAAUGCAACUCCAAUCCAAGACAAUUAUAUCUCCAGUCAAUCCACAUGAUUGUCAAGUAUUAUGCAAGUGUUCCUCAAUUACUUGAUAUUUUACCUGUUCCGUAGAGUGAUUUAUUUGUUAAUUUUUAGACACAGAUCCUUAACUGUAAAUUCAAGAUGCAAGGAGUUGCCAUUUCAUACAUAGAUAUGUUUCUAGUUAAAAAUCUUGAUAUCAGACUCUUUUCUCAAUGAGAUAUAACCUGAUUUUGUUGUGUAAUAAAUUGUUACUGCCAAUAUACAAGUACUAUAAAAGCCAAGAGCUUGGGAUGUACUUUGCAGAGGGUAACUAGAACCUCCAGUCUUUCAGACGGGAAAAAUUAGAUGUAUGACACCUUCAAUAAUUGUGUACUUUGUAUGUCAUGUGAAUUCCAUUCCAACAGUCAUGGAAUUUAUCAUGAUCAUCAUCUGACAUCACCCUUCUUCCUUGUUUUUCUAGAAUGUAAUUGCUGUACGUCUGCCUUGUUGUAUGAAGGGUUAAAAAUGGUAUUACCACUGCAACAAUCAGGUCUCUCUCUCUCUC